Molecule: ribosomal RNA, 504 nt
Filed under: uncultured bacterium
Lineage: Bacteria
Description: partial 16S ribosomal RNA
Rfam family: Bacterial small subunit ribosomal RNA
Source: RNAcentral
GAUGAACGCUAGCGGCAGGCUUAACACAUGCAAGUCGAGGGGCAGCAUAAAUAGUAGCAAUACUAUUGGUGGCGACCGGCGGACGGGUGCGUAACGCGUAUACAACCUUCCCUAAACAGGGGGAUAAUCUGGAGAAAUUCGGUCUAAUACCCCAUAACAUCAGAGCAGGCAUCUGUUUUGGUUAAAAUUUCCGGAGGUUUAGGAUGGGUAUGCGUAGCAUUAGCUAGUUGGUGAGGUACCGGCUCACCAAGGCGACGAUGCUUAGGGGGACUGAGAGGUUAACCCCCCACACUGGUACUGAGGCACGGACCAGACUCCUACGGGAGGCAGCAGUGAGUAAUAUUGGUCAAUGGGCGGAAGCCUGAACCAGCCAUGCCGCGUGCAGGAUGACGGCUCUAUGAGUUGUAAACUGCUUUUGUACGAGGGUAAAGUGGGCUACGUGUAGCCUUUUGAAAGUAUCGUACGAAUAAGGAUCGGCUAACUCCGUGCCAGCCGCCGCCGUAA